Molecule: ribosomal RNA, 1290 nt
Filed under: Glutamicibacter halophytocola
Lineage: Bacteria; Bacillati; Actinomycetota; Actinomycetes; Micrococcales; Micrococcaceae
Description: bacterial SSU rRNA
Rfam family: Bacterial small subunit ribosomal RNA
Source: RNAcentral
GAGUAACACGUGAGUAACCUGCCCCCGACUUUGGGAUAAGCCCGGGAAACUGGGUCUAAUACCGGAUAUGACUUCUUACCGCAUGGUGGGUUGUUGAAAGAUUUAUCGGUGGGGGAUGGACUCGCGGCCUAUCAGCUUGUUGGUGAGGUAAUGGCUCACCAAGGCGACGACGGGUAGCCGGCCUGAGAGGGUGACCGGCCACACUGGGACUGAGACACGGCCCAGACUCCUACGGGAGGCAGCAGUGGGGAAUAUUGCACAAUGGGCGAAAGCCUGAUGCAGCGACGCCGCGUGAGGGAUGACGGCCUUCGGGUUGUAAACCUCUUUCAGUAGGGAAGAAGCGAAAGUGACGGUACCUGCAGAAGAAGCGCCGGCUAACUACGUGCCAGCAGCCGCGGUAAUACGUAGGGCGCAAGCGUUAUCCGGAUUUAUUGGGCGUAAAGAGCUCGUAGGCGGUUUGUCGCGUCUGCCGUGAAAGUCCGAGGCUCAACCUCGGAUCUGCGGUGGGUACGGGCAGACUAGAGUGAUGUAGGGGAGACUGGAAUUCCUGGUGUAGCGGUGAAAUGCGCAGAUAUCAGGAGGAACACCGAUGGCGAAGGCAGGUCUCUGGGCAUUUACUGACGCUGAGGAGCGAAAGCAUGGGGAGCGAACAGGAUUAGAUACCCUGGUAGUCCAUGCCGUAAACGUUGGGCACUAGGUGUGGGGGACAUUCCACGUUUUCCGCGCCGUAGCUAACGCAUUAAGUGCCCCGCCUGGGGAGUACGGCCGCAAGGCUAAAACUCAAAGGAAUUGACGGGGGCCCGCACAAGCGGCGGAGCAUGCGGAUUAAUUCGAUGCAACGCGAAGAACCUUACCAAGGCUUGACAUGUGCCAGACCGCCUCAGAGAUGGGGUUUCCCUUCGGGGCUGGUUCACAGGUGGUGCAUGGUUGUCGUCAGCUCGUGUCGUGAGAUGUUGGGUUAAGUCCCGCAACGAGCGCAACCCUCGUUCCAUGUUGCCAGCACGUAGUGGUGGGGACUCAUGGGAGACUGCCGGGGUCAACUCGGAGGAAGGUGGGGAUGACGUCAAAUCAUCAUGCCCCUUAUGUCUUGGGCUUCACGCAUGCUACAAUGGCCGGUACAAUGGGUUGCGAUACUGUGAGGUGGAGCUAAUCCCUAAAAGCCGGUCUCAGUUCGGAUUGGGGUCUGCAACUCGACCCCAUGAAGUCGGAGUCGCUAGUAAUCGCAGAUCAGCAACGCUGCGGUGAAUACGUUCCCGGGCCUUGUACACACCGCCCGUCAAGUCACGAAAG